RNAcentral lists this ribosomal RNA (505 nucleotides) under uncultured bacterium. Its description in RNAcentral is "partial 16S ribosomal RNA". It matches the Rfam family "Bacterial small subunit ribosomal RNA", at positions 28 to 507 of the family's 1533-position model. The record is from RNAcentral.
GACGAACGCUGGCGGCGUGCCUAAUACAUGCAAGUAGAACGCACAGUUUAUACCGUAGCUUGCUACACCAUAGACUGUGAGUUGCGAACGGGUGAGUAACGCGUAGGUAACCUGCCUGGUAGCGGGGGAUAACUAUUGGAAACGAUAGCUAAUACCGCAUAAUAUUGAUUAUUGCAUGAUAAUUAAUUGAAAUGUGCAAUUUCACCACUACCAGAUGGACCUGCGUUGUAUUAGCUAAUAGGUGAGGUAACGGCUCACCUAAUCGACGAUACAUAGCCGACCCGAGAGGGUGAUCCGCCACACUGGGACUGAGACACGGCCCAGGCUUCUACGGGAAGGAGCAGGAGGGAAUCUUCGGCAAUGGACGGAAGUCUGACCGAGCAACGCCGCGUGAGUGAAUAAGGUUUUCGGAUCGGAAAGCUCUGUUGUAAGGGAAGAACGGGAGUGAGAGUGGAAAGUGCACACUGUGACGGUAUCUUACCAGAAAGGGACGGCUAACUACGUG